RNAcentral lists this ribosomal RNA (508 nucleotides) under uncultured bacterium. RNAcentral describes it as "bacterial SSU rRNA". It matches the Rfam family "Bacterial small subunit ribosomal RNA", at positions 28 to 496 of the family's 1533-position model. The record is from RNAcentral.
GACGAACGCUGGCGGCGUGCCUAAUACAUGCAAGUCGAACGCACUCUCGUUUAGAUUGAAGGAGCUUGCUCCUGAUUGAUAAACAUUUGAGUGAGUGGCGGACGGGUGAGUAACACGUGGGUAACCUGCCCUAAAGUGGGGGAUAACAUUUGGAAACAGAUGCUAAUACCGCAUAAAACCUAACACCGCAUGGUGUAAGGGUUGAAAGAUGGUUUCGGCUAUCACUUUAGGAUGGACCCGCGGUGCAUUAGUUAGUUGGUGAGGUAAAGGCUCACCAAGACCGUGAUGCAUAGCCGACCUGAGAGGGUAAUCGGCCACACUGGGACUGAGACACGGCCCAGACUCCUACGGGAGCAGCAGUAGGGAAUCUUCCACAAUGGACGAAAGUCUGAUGGAGCAACGCCGCGUGAGUGAAGAAGGUUUCGGAUCGUAAAACUCUGUUGUUGGAGAAGAAUGUAUCUGAUAGUAACUGAUCAGGUAGUGACGGUAUCCAACCAGAAAGCCACGG